AGCAGUAGCCGCGGGAAUACGUAGGUGGCAAGCGUUGUCCGGAAUUAUUGGGCGUAAAGGGCUCGCAGGCGGUUUCUUAAGUCUGAUGUGAAAGCCCCCGGCUCAACCGGGGAGGGUCAUUGGAAACUGGGAAACUUGAGUGCAGAAGAGGAGAGUGGAAUUCCACGUGUAGCGGUGAAAUGCGUAGAGAUGUGGAGGAACACCAGUGGCGAAGGCGACUCUCUGGUCUGUAACUGACGCUGAGGAGCGAAAGCGUGGGGAGCGAACAGGAUUAGAUACCCGCGUAGUCCCUGUCUCUUAUAC
This 303-nucleotide ribosomal RNA is filed under the name uncultured bacterium. RNAcentral's name for it is "partial 16S ribosomal RNA". It matches the Rfam family "Bacterial small subunit ribosomal RNA", at positions 507 to 807 of the family's 1533-position model. The record is from RNAcentral.